UCCCUGGUGGUCCAGUGGCUAAGACUCUGCAUUCCCAAAGCAGGGGGCGCGGGUUCAAUCCCUGCUCAGGGAA
Budorcas taxicolor (takin) is the source of this 73-nucleotide non-coding RNA. Lineage: Eukaryota; Metazoa; Chordata; Mammalia; Artiodactyla; Bovidae. The record is from the annotation of a RefSeq genome assembly.